UACGUAGGGAGCAAGCGUUGUCCGGAAUCAUUGGGCGUAAAGCGCGCGUAGGCGGCCCGAUAAGUCCGCUGUGAAAGUCAACGGCUCAACUGUUGGAUGCCGGUGGAUACUGUCGGGCUAGAGUACGGAAGAGGCAAGUGGAAUCCUGGUGUAGCGGUGAAAUGCGCAGAUAUCAGGAGGAACACCGGUGGCGAAGGCGGGUCUCUGGGCCGAUACUGACGCUGAGGAGCGAAAGCGUGGGGAGCGAACAGG
This 252-nucleotide ribosomal RNA is filed under the name uncultured bacterium. RNAcentral's name for it is "partial 16S ribosomal RNA". It matches the Rfam family "Bacterial small subunit ribosomal RNA", at positions 524 to 776 of the family's 1533-position model. The record is from RNAcentral.